Molecule: ribosomal RNA, 339 nt
Filed under: Pinna nobilis
Lineage: Eukaryota; Metazoa; Mollusca; Bivalvia; Pterioida; Pinnidae
Description: partial 12S ribosomal RNA
Rfam family: Microsporidia small subunit ribosomal RNA
Source: RNAcentral
GAGCACCACUCAGGGGAACUUGACGCUUAAUUCGAUGAUCCGCGAAUUACCUUACCUCUUCUUGCCCAAUAAAGCGGGUCAGGCUGUUUAUCCCCGUCUAAAGUUUUUAGUUUAAGCUAACAGAAAUGAGACACGAAAACUUGUACGUUUCUAGGACAGGCCGAGAUGCACCUUAUGGAGAGGGGUUAGUUGAGUUACAAUUACUUAAAAGUAGUGGAAAAGUUUUGGAAGUAGGCUUGGAAAGUGGACCUGAUAGUACAGCUAAAUCAUCAUGUUAGCUAGAAAGGUUGGACCUCGGUGCGUACAAAUCGCCCGUCGCCCUCUUCGAAAGUGGAGGUA